UGCCCCGGCCCGCCCCCCUGUGGCCGGGAUUGGCGGCUCGCGCAUUACCCCCCCCUAGCGCGAGCCGCCCCUU
Corynebacterium vitaeruminis DSM 20294 is the source of this 73-nucleotide regulatory RNA element. It matches the Rfam family "6C RNA". NCBI's taxonomy places the organism in Bacteria, Bacillati, Actinomycetota, Actinomycetes, Mycobacteriales, Corynebacteriaceae. The record is from Rfam.